UUAAUUAUCAGAAAAAUUAUUUGGUAAUUUAAGCAAUAUGAUUCAUUAAAGCAACUUGUCCACUUUUGAAUCAUCCCUAGGUAUUAAAAUAAUCGUUUUGAGUAGCUAAGCAUGAUUAUAGCUGGUCGAAAAGAGACGAAAUCAAAAUAUGUCAUCGAAUUAGGUAGGGUUGAUUAUUAUUGUUUCCUCGUGCAACUCAGAAUCGAAAAAUUCAAUACCUAACGGACAUAAGGUCCACACUGUAAAUAUUAUACUAAAAUUAUAAUAUUAAAAUGUACAGGUGGAUACAUUAUUGUAGAAAUCAUAAAAACAUCAAUUGUAUAUAAAUAAUUAAUAAUUAUAUCAAAUAUAGUAUAUAACUAUAUAGUUAAAUUGGUGCGAUUCGGUGGGUGAAUGAUAUAGUCAACAUUUUAUCAGUCAUUCCGGGUUGGUCGAAUUGCACUUUUUACCUAAAUUAAAUAACCGAACUGCACGCGGGUCAAAAAAAGUUUUAAAAACACUAAUUUCCCUGACCACUUACAGGUUUAGAACUGCAAUGAUUUUAAUCAUUGGCGAGGUUAAAAAAUUAAUUUUCUCUUAAUUUAUGUGUAUAUUUGUAUACCUAAUUAAAAUGUG
Molecule: non-coding RNA, 615 nt
Organism: Cinara cedri
Lineage: Eukaryota; Metazoa; Arthropoda; Insecta; Hemiptera; Aphididae
Source: the annotation of a GenBank genome assembly